Gonium pectorale is the source of this 91-nucleotide small nucleolar RNA. The record is from Rfam. Lineage: Eukaryota; Viridiplantae; Chlorophyta; Chlorophyceae; Chlamydomonadales; Volvocaceae.
CGGCAAUGAUGAGCAACUUGUUUAUCCGCGCUGCUGAUCUUGCAGAUGAGGAGAAUGAACAACUAAUGGUUGAAUUUCUUGAUCCGAGCCG